RNAcentral lists this ribosomal RNA (483 nucleotides) under uncultured bacterium. Its description in RNAcentral is "partial 16S ribosomal RNA". It matches the Rfam family "Bacterial small subunit ribosomal RNA", at positions 28 to 523 of the family's 1533-position model. The record is from RNAcentral.
GACGAACGCUGGCGGCGUGCUUAACACAUGCAAGUCGAACGGUGAAGCCCAGCUUGCUGGGUGGAUCAGUGGCGAACGGGUGAGUAACACGUGAGUAACCUGCCUCUGACUCUGGGAUAAGCCUUGGAAACGGGGUCUAAUACUGGAUACGAGACGCUCGGGCAUCCGAAGUGUCUGGAAAGAUUUAUCGGUCAGAGAUGGACUGGCGGCCUAUCAGGUUGUUGGUGGGGUAAUGGCCUACCAAGGCGACGACGGGUAGCCGGCCUGAGAGGGCGACCGGCCACACUGGGACUGAGACACGGCCCAGACUCCUACGGGAGGCAGCAGUGGGGAAUAUUGCACAAUGGGCGCAAGCCUGAUGCAGCGACGCCGCGUGAGGGAUGACGGCCUUCGGGUUGUAAACCUCUUUCAGCAGGGAAGAAGCGAAAGUGACGGUACCUGCAGAAGAAGCGCCGGCUAACUACGUGCCAGCCGCCGCGGUAA